RNAcentral lists this long non-coding RNA (1244 nucleotides) under Struthio camelus australis. RNAcentral's name for it is "lncRNA (ENSSCUG00000017224.1)". Lineage: Eukaryota; Metazoa; Chordata; Aves; Struthioniformes; Struthionidae. The record is from RNAcentral.
CUUCCUGAAGCUUUAAUUAUUUAUCCUUGGAGAGAAUUUGACAGUUACAAGUAGUCACGACUCAGCAGAUUAACCCUACAAGCGCCAGAACCUAUUUCCAUAUCAAGUAGACUCAAAUGUGUCAUGGAAUCAAAUGUUAAUUUUGAGGUAAUAUGACUCCCAAUUAACAUGAAAAAGUAGGUGGGCCUAAAUAAAACAUAUUUUUAAAUCUAGUACUGUCUUUAAUGAAGUUAAAAUUGAUUUAAUAUUCUUGCUAAUUUUAACAGGUAAUCUUUAAAGACGGAAGGUGUAAUAAGCGGCAAAGAGUGAUAUUGGCAUUCUGCAAUGAAAAUGCAUUUUCAGGAGAUGAUGGUCAAGUAAUGGGGAAAAUAAGGUUUUCACCGCUGCGGAUUAAGAAGCUGAUCAUUCAUGAUUAAUCUUCGCUGAUUUUAAGCACUAAUAUUUCCACCAGUGUGGUUUUCCGGAGGAAUAACUUGCAAAGCUGCGGAUAAUGCUCCCAUGUGCUGGCGGGGCCCACCCUUAGCAAUAAGGUUGCCACGGAAACAGCAAAACUGUGCUCGCGGGAGAGAGAUGGGGUGAGAACGAAAGGGAGAUGAGGGAAAUUUGCAGCAAUUUUUCACUGAAAUAACUAGAAUUUGUUAAAAUGGUGUUAAAGCGCACUUUUUUUUGCAAGGGAAGGGCUACAGUCCUGGCGGGGAGGGGAGGAGAAAACACUGUCCUAUGUUUUCUUUGCAUAGGAUAGUAAUGCCGUAUUAGCUUUAUAGGCACUGAGGUCUGACUUUGGGUACUUGGGUUGGGGACAGCAGAAUCUGAACUAAAGGAUGAGCAUUCAGUCCUGUUAUUAUCGUUAUUACCACUUCUUAAACACGCAAACCUCACAACAACCAGGAUGCUUUGGAACUGUGUUCCUGGUUAUUUGAAUCCCAUGCACAAAAACCGACCGAGCAGGUUUUUACUCAGGCUGUUUCAGUUUGUCAGUGGCAAACCACUCAUACUGCUGCAACUUGACUGAUAAAAGCAGGAAUUUAAAUCUGAUCCCCUCUCCCUCCAAAAAGGUAUCAAGGCCUGAAACCGAACACUGUGUGCAGGUGUAUCAGAGGAAGAGGAAGACAGAAUACGAUACAUCAAGCUGCAGAGGUAGUUACAGUGCAGAAGGAAAAAAAGGGGGCAGCUAAGGAUAAGCCUUUGAGAGCUACGCGGAGAGGAAAAAGGAAGAACUGUCACAGGAGACACUAAAUGAGUCA